UGGGGAAUAUUGGACAAUGGGCGCAAGCCUGAUCCAGCCAUGCCGCGUGAGUGAUGACGGCCUUAGGGUUGUAAAGCUCUUUCGCCAGGGACGAUAAUGACGGUACCUGGAUAAGAAGCCCCGGCUAACUUCGUGCCAGCAGCCGCGGUAAUACGAGGGGGCUAGCGUUGUUCGGAAUUACUGGGCGUAAAGCGCGUGUAGGCGGGUCGCUAAGUCAAGGGUGAAAUGCCAAGGCUCAACCUUGGAACUGCCUUUGAUACUGGAGAUCUUGAGUCCGGGAGAGGUGAGUGGAACUGCGAGUGUAGAGGUGAAAUUCGUAGAUAUUCGCAAGAACACCAGUGGCGAAGGCGGCUCACUGGCCCGGAACUGACGCUGAGACGCGAAAGCGUGGGGAGCAAACAGGAUUAGAUACCCUGGUAGUCCACGCUGUAAACGAUGGAUGCUAGCCGUUGGGGAGCUUGCUCUUCAGUGGCGCCGCUAACGCUUUAAGCAUCCCGCCUGGGGAGUACGGUCGCAAGA
This 519-nucleotide ribosomal RNA is filed under the name uncultured bacterium. RNAcentral's name for it is "bacterial SSU rRNA". It matches the Rfam family "Bacterial small subunit ribosomal RNA", at positions 355 to 893 of the family's 1533-position model. The record is from RNAcentral.